CCUACGGGAGGCAGCAGUGGGGAAUAUUGGGCAAUGGGCGCGAGCCUGACCCAGCAAAGCCGCGUGAAGGAAGAAGGCCCUAGGGUUGGAAACUUCUUUUAUCAAGGACGAAACAAGUGACGGUACUGGAUGAAUAAGCGAAGGCUAAGUACAUGCCAGCAGCCGCGGUAAUACGUAGGUGGCAAGCGUUAUGCGGAUUUACUGGGUGUAAGGGGCGUGUAGGCGGGAUUGCAGGUCAGAUGUGAAAACUAUGGGCUCAACCCAGGGCCUGCAUUUGAAACUGUAGUUCUUGAGUGUUGGAGAGGCAGGCGGAAUUCCGGGUGCAGUGGUGAAAUGCGUAGAUAUACGGAGGAACACCAGUUGCGAAGGCGGCCUGCUGGACAAUAACUGACGCUGAGGCGCGAAAGCGUGGGGAGCAAACAGGAUUAGAUACCCGGGUAGUC
RNAcentral lists this ribosomal RNA (443 nucleotides) under uncultured bacterium. RNAcentral describes it as "partial 16S ribosomal RNA". It matches the Rfam family "Bacterial small subunit ribosomal RNA", at positions 338 to 795 of the family's 1533-position model. The record is from RNAcentral.